GGCUAUAGGGUGAUAUUUUAGACUCGGGGACAGUAGUGGCCUGUUAAGUUACUAUGCAUUGGUCACAGUUUUACAUUAGUUACAGGAAGCUUUAGUUUCAGCUUUAGUUUCAUUUCUGUGGCAGUGACAAAGAAUCUGAGGGAGAAAGUUUAUUUCAUUGUAACAUUCUAGGACACAGUCCAUUAUUGUGGGGAAGUCAGUGCAGGAGCUUCAAACAGCUGGUCACAUCAUGCCUAUCGUUAAGAGCAAUGAGAAAUGAAAGCGUAUGCUUGGUGGCCUCAGAGCCAGCAAACUCACCCACCUGAGACCAGUUUCCCAAUAAACCUGCUUUUAAUAUAAUCUAA
This is a long non-coding RNA of Mastomys coucha (southern multimammate mouse), 344 nucleotides long. RefSeq lists it as uncharacterized. The transcript has 2 exons. The record is from RefSeq and is a predicted model, not a curated record. Lineage: Eukaryota; Metazoa; Chordata; Mammalia; Rodentia; Muridae.